Molecule: ribosomal RNA, 253 nt
Filed under: uncultured bacterium
Lineage: Bacteria
Description: partial 16S ribosomal RNA
Rfam family: Bacterial small subunit ribosomal RNA
Source: RNAcentral
UACGUAGGGGGCAAGCGUUGUCCGGAAUUAUUGGGCGUAAAGAGCGCGUAGGCGGUCCGAUAAGUCGGCUGUGAAAGUCAGGGGCUCAACCCUUGGAAGCCGGCCGAUACUGUCGGACUAGAGUCCGGAAGAGGCGAGUGGAAUUCCCGGUGUAGCGGUGAAAUGCGCAGAUAUCGGGAGGAACACCAAUGGCGAAGGCAGCUCGCUGGGACGGUACUGACGCUGAGGCGCGAAAGCGUGGAGAGCAAACAGG